AAAUAUCUGACCCGAGAUCAAAAGUGUUCAUUUUUAACAAAGUUAAAAAGGACCAACACUGCUACUUAAAGCACUAUUUUGAACCUAUUAUCAAAAACAAACAUGAAAUCGCAUAAACGCGAGUUACAAGACAACCUAUGUUUGAUCAGAAAUCAGCACACUGUUUAAGGAAUCAAACGCAAUUCCUUAGGUCCACUAUAAAACCGAAAAAGCUGUGUUGAUCUCAUCUCAUCAAUAAAUAUGGUUGAGCUCAAGUUUCUUGGAAUGAAUUUUGGUUGUGUAGUGGCAGCCCUUAGCAAAGGUGAAUUCCCAGAAAAAGAUUGUUUGCUUCCUUUAAUAUCCAAGCUCCUCGGCUAUGCCAUUGUUGCUGCCUCUACCACUGUUAAACUUCCUCAGAUACUAAAAAUUUUGCGACACAAAAGUGUUAGAGGGCUUAGUGUUGUGAGCUUCGAGCUAGAAGUAAUUGGUUAUACCAUUGCUUUAGCAUAUUGUCUUCACAAAGGACUUCCUUUUUCAGCUUUCGGAGAGUAUGCUUUUCUUUUGAUUCAAGCUGUCAUUUUGGUUGCGAUCAUCUAUUAUUUUUCUCAGCCUUUGGGAACAAAGACAUGGAUUAGAGGAUUAUUAUAUUGUGCUAUAGCCCCAAUUGUUUUGGCAGGCCAAAUUGAUCCCAUUCUUUUUGAGGCCCUAUAUGCCUCUCAGCAUUCGAUUUUUCUUUUUGCAAGGAUUCCACAGAUCUGGAAGAAUUUUCAGAACAGAAGCACUGGGGAACUAAGCUUUUUAACCUUUUUUAUGAACUUUGGUGGUUCCAUGGGUAAGUUUACCAUUGAACUUCUUGUUGCACUUCCCAAAAUGAAGUUCUCGCCCACUUUUCCUUUCUAUGUUGCAGUUAGAGUGUUUACCAGCCUCCAAGAAAAAGCUCCAAUGAGUGCUUGAGAUUGGUCAAAGCUGGGACAUUAGAGUUCUAGCUCAACUUUGAAAAAGAUCAGGAGGCUUGAGUUUGAUGCAAAAAAAACUCGAUUAUGAGGGAAACGAGAAGGCAACAUAAUCAUACAAACAGAAUCAGCUUCUGAUAUUCAGUUUGCUGGCUUCAAAAAUGGAAAAGAAAACAGUAACUGGAGAAAAACCUACUUAUUAUAUAUAGAAAGAAGUACGGAAUUUGGAUCUAGACUACUUUUGUUCAACUUGGCUCAAUGCGCAUCUUUGUUGUCAUGGGAUCUGUGAUUGGUGUAGUGAUGAACGGUACCAUCUUGAGUCAAAUUCUCUUGUCCCAAGCACCAGCACCAAAGAAAGGGAAAAAGACAAAUUAGAAAUUUCAUCUUCGUAAGCUGUGAAUGGCUUUGAUACUUGGUUUCUUCUGCACUACAAAGCUCACUGCAAUGAUACUCGAGCAUUGCAGCUCGUCUGUCCACGUGAUUCCACAAAGUACCUAACAUAGAUUUGCCUAGUUCAAAAUUUAGAACUAACAUCAAUUCAUCAUAGGCUCACAAAUUUACUUCAACACUAGUCUUCUUGAAUUUUGAGUUGUCAAUUAUACUUUAGCCAUGAAUAGAUUAGUUCAUUUAUACAUGUAAUUCCCAUCAGUAUCUGUCAUAGAUUUGCUUAGUUCAAAAUAUGGAUUGAUCACAUAUCCAACUUCACUUCAAUUGAAUUGUUACAUGAAAUACAAUAACAACAGUUGAUUGAAAUUCAAGCUUCAAACACAUGCUUUAGAAUA
RNA transcript from Lycium ferocissimum, 1714 nucleotides. It is a transcript of the gene named mannose-P-dolichol utilization defect 1 protein homolog 2-like, with no coding region annotated. Lineage: Eukaryota; Viridiplantae; Streptophyta; Magnoliopsida; Solanales; Solanaceae. The transcript has 8 exons. The record is from RefSeq and is a predicted model, not a curated record.